This 393-nucleotide ribosomal RNA is filed under the name uncultured bacterium. RNAcentral describes it as "partial 16S ribosomal RNA". It matches the Rfam family "Bacterial small subunit ribosomal RNA", at positions 523 to 918 of the family's 1533-position model. The record is from RNAcentral.
AUACGGAGGAUGCAAGCGUUAUCCGGAUUUAUUGGGUUUAAAGGGUGCGUAGGCGGAGGAGUAAGUCAGGGGUGAAAUGCCGCAGCUCAACUGCGGAACUGCCUUUGAUACUGCUUUUCUGGAGUUCGGAUGCCGUGGGAGGAAUGGGCAGUGUAGCGGUGAAAUGCAUAGAUAUUGCCCAGAACACCGAUCGCGAAGGCAGCUUGCCGGGCCGCAACUGACGCUGAAGCUCGAAGGUGCGGGUAUCGAACAGGAUUAGAUACCCUGGUAGUCCGCACAGUAAACGAUGGAUACUCGCUGUCGGCGAUAUACGGUCGGUGGCCAAGCGAAAGCGUUAAGUAUCCCACCUGGGGAGUACGCCGGCAACGGUGAAACUCAAAGGAAUUGACGGGG